AAUAACUGUUUUCUUAUAACAAUAAGUUGUUUGUUGAACUAUAAUAGACAAAGCACAACUAAACUUUACAAAACUAGUUGGAUAUAUAUAGUUUAAUAAAAUUAGUAAACUGAUUUACAACUAUUAUUAAUAGUUAUUAAUAAUUCUACUAUAUAAGCUACCUACAUUAACCUAUCAUUACUCAUCAAAUUAUCUUACUUAAAGUUUCAAAAAAAAAAAAGAAAUUGCAAUAUCUUCUUAGAAUUUCUGAUAAUUAAAUACAUAUAAGUCAUGGAGAUUCAGAAAAAAAAUCAAGUGUUCUCAUGAUCAUAGUUAUGAUUACGAUAGCAUUUUCAGCACACAUUUCUC
RNAcentral lists this long non-coding RNA (348 nucleotides) under Brassica rapa (field mustard). RNAcentral's name for it is "long non-coding RNA (BRAP_LNC005221)". Lineage: Eukaryota; Viridiplantae; Streptophyta; Magnoliopsida; Brassicales; Brassicaceae. The record is from RNAcentral.